AAUCCCGGAAGCGCAGCGGCUGUGACUGUGCACUCUCCAGGGGUUUUGUUACCUAGGUCUCUCAAGACUUAAAGGGGUGGAAGUCAACUGGAAAUGAUACUAGUACUAAAGCCACUGGAAGCAUCCAGAUGGAGCUCUUAUGUCCAUUCGAAUAUCCUCUAAUUGGUUGUGAACCAGCAUCAACUUCCAGACACGUGAGUGAACAUGUCAUCAGGUUAUUCCUGCCCCAGAUUUGGAGACUCCUCACUGAAGACCGGAACACUGUGGAGCAGCACACAGCCAUCUCUGCUAUGCUUUGUCUGAAUUCCUGAUGUACACAUCUCUGAAGAUAGUUGGUUGAUCAAAAAGCCUUCAAUGGAAUAGAUUAAUGGCCCAUUCUUUCUUGUCACAAGAAUACAGUUGUGUAAAUCAUCACAGUUAUUUAGCUGGCACUUUGUGUCCUGUGGACACUGAGGUGGAAGAAAGUCUCAGGGUUCGAGCAGAACAAUGAUCUUUAG
Lutra lutra (Eurasian river otter) is the source of this 497-nucleotide long non-coding RNA. RefSeq lists it as uncharacterized. Lineage: Eukaryota; Metazoa; Chordata; Mammalia; Carnivora; Mustelidae. The transcript is spliced from 5 exons. The record is from RefSeq and is a predicted model, not a curated record.